AUUGAACGCUGGCGGCAUGCUUUACACAUGCAAGUCGAACGGCAGCGCGGGCUUCGGCCUGGCGGCGAGUGGCGAACGGGUGAGUAAUGCAUCGGAACGUGCCCAGUAGUGGGGGAUAGCGCGGCGAAAGCCGGGUUAAUACCGCAUACGACCUGAGGGUGAAAGUGGGGGACCGUAAGGCCUCGCGCUAUUGGAGCGGCCGAUGUCGGAUUAGCUAGUUGGUGGGGUAAAGGCUUACCAAGGCGACGAUCCGUAGCUGGUCUGAGAGGACGACCAGCCACACUGGGACUGAGACACGGCCCAGACUCCUACGGGAGGCAGCAGUGGGGAAUGUUGGACAAUGGGGGCAACCCUGAUCCAGCCAUGCCGCGUGCGGGAAGAAGGCCUUCGGGUUGUAAACCGCUUUUGUUCGGGAAGAAAGCCACUAGGCUAAUACCCCGGGGUGAUGACGGUACCGGAAGAAUAAGCACCGGCUAACUACGUG
Molecule: ribosomal RNA, 484 nt
Filed under: uncultured bacterium
Lineage: Bacteria
Description: partial 16S ribosomal RNA
Rfam family: Bacterial small subunit ribosomal RNA
Source: RNAcentral